UGUCCUCAGUGUGUUAGUGAGGAUAGGCUAUCACUGGUUAGCUGUCUAAUCAUUGGGAGUGACUAGUGUGCAGAGCUCGGCAACAUUAUGGAAUACUAAAUGAUAUCAAGUGAUUGUUUUUAGUCUUAAAUUUACUCUCUUCUCCUCCUCCUCCUCCUCCUCUCUGUCUAUCUUCAUCCCUUCCUUCCUUUUAAUAAAUAAGUUAUCUUUUGCUUAAUUAACGUUUAUAAAUCUUUAUGGUGGUCAAAUCUUGCAUCUCAUUUCCCUGUCGUCCAUUCUCUCUCCUCCUCCUCCUCCUCCUCCUCCUCCUGCUCAUAAUCCAAUUCCUUCUAUUCUCCUUUAUUCCUUUUUCACUUUCCCUCCUUCCCUUUUCCAUUCCCCUUCCCCGACUUUCCUCCAUUCUUUCCUCCUCUAUUCUUCCUUCAUCUCCUUCUCCUUUUUCUCCUUUCACUCCUCCUCCUCUCUGUCUAUCUUCAUCCCUUCCUUCCUUUUAAUUAAUGUCUAAGUUAUCCUUUGAGUGACGUUCUUUCUGGCGGUCAAAUCUUGCAUCCUAUUUCCUAUCGUCCAUUCUCUCUCUUCCUCCUUCUCCUCCUCCUCUGUCUAUCUUCAUCCCUUCCUUCCUUUUAAUUAAUGUCUAAGUUAUCUAUCGGUUCCUUCCAGUGUGUUUGUGGUGCCCGGCUCUGCUUGCUAGUUUGUUUUGUCACUGUAUAAUUGUCAGUCCUAGUUUGUUUUGCCACUGUAUAAUUGUCAGUCCUAGUUUGCUUUGUCCUUGUAUAAUUGUCCGUCCCAGCCAGGCGCCUCUUCCAUGUAAAGAUCUCGGCAGCUUCAAGCCUUGCCGAUAUCUCAAUCCGUACGUGAAUGUAAAUUAACCGAAAUCCUUGUUACUAAGCCCUGCACGGUGCUCUCUCACAUAAUGCUUCUUUAAAUUUUCAGUCUCACUUAAUUUCCGGGGUCAGUAAUAUAUUUUGCCAUAAGUUAACUCCCCGUGAUGGCCAGUUUCAUGCACUAUAUAUAAGUAAUUUGCCUUUUGCAUGGCUAUAAUUCUGCAUCUGUGUCUAAGGCCCAGUUUCACAGUUCCUCAUGGUGGGUUAGUAAGCUCCAAAACCAAUACCAGAGCCUUCGAAAUUUCCUUGUACAGUGUCUGGAGUUUAUAUUCAAGUUCACAAAUUUGACGAGACUAUACAGGAAAGGUCUUGUGUGUUUAUGCUACGAAGGAAAGGGAGGAGAAGGGAGAUGAGAUUGGGAGACGAGUGAGCCGAGAUCCUGUUUAUAUUCAAGUUCACAAGUUUGAUGAGACUAUACAGGAAAGGUCUUGUGUGUUUAUGCUACGAAGGAAAGGGAGGAGAAGGGAGAUGAGAUUGGGAGACGAGUGAGCCGAGAUCCUGUUUAUAUUCAAGUUCACAAAUUUGACAAGACUAUACAGGAAAGGUCUUAUAUUGUCAUGAUACGAAGGAAAGGGAGGAGAAGGGAGAUGAGAUUAGGAGACGAGUGAGCCGAGAUCCUGUUUAUAUUCAAGUUCACAAAUUUGACAAGACUAUACAGGAAAGGUCUUAUAUUGUCAUGAUACGAAGGAAAGGGAGGAGAAGGGAGAUGAGAUUGGGAGACGAGUGAGCCGAGAUCCUGUUUAUAUUCAAGUUCACAAGUUUGAUGAGACUAUACAGGAAAGGUCUUGUGUGUUUAUGCUACGAAGGAAAGGGAGGAGAAGGGAGAUGAGAUUAGGAGACGAGUGAGCCGAGAUCCUGUUUAUAUUCAAGUUCACAAAUUUGACGAGACUAUACAGGAAAGGUCUUGUGUGUUUAUGCUACGAAGGAAAGGGAGGAGAAGGGAGAUGAGAUUAGGAGACGAGUGAGCCGAGAUUCUGUUUAUAUUCAAGUCCACAAAUUUGACAAGACUAUACAGGAAAAGCUCUCUGUUUAUGAUAUGAAGGAAAGGGAAGAGAAGGGAGAUGAGUAAGCUGAGAUUCUGUUUAUAUUCAAGUUCACAAAUUUGACAAGACUAUACAGGAAAAGCUCUGUUUAUGAUAUGAAGGAAAGGGAAGAGAAGGGAGAUGAGUAAGCUGAGAUUCUGUUUAUAUUCAAGUUCACAAAUUUGACAAGACUAUACAGGAAAAGCUCUGUUUAUGAUAUGAAGGAAAGGGAAGAGAAGGGAGACGAGUGAGCCGAGAUCCUGUAUAUAUUCAAGUUCACAAAUUUGACAAGACUAUACAGGAAAAGCUGUGUUUAUGAUAUGAAGGAAAGGGAAGAGAAGGGAGAUGAGUAAGCUGAGAUCCUGUUUAUAUUCAAGUCCACAAAUUUGACGACACAAUACAGGAAAAGCUCUUUGUAUUUAGUGUGUCAUCGAAGACCGCGCCAUUUUGAACAGUAUGGGAUUCUAUAGCUUGGUUCAGGAGUGUUACAAAGAUUGUGUUGGACUGUGAAAGCGGCCCUUAAUGUUCCCUUUUCUAAUAUGCCUCUCUGUUUUUGCAGGAUGCCGCGGACGGACCAUGCAGAGGACUCAUCGCGACGACACCAACGGUUUGGUUAAGUGGGUUCUCUUGUGUGUGCGUCUGUGUGUGAAUGGCAGGCCUGUCGUAUGAUUGUGUGUGUGUGUGCGUUGGCGUUAUGCCUUCGCACUAUUAUUUUGUUAGGAUGUAUUUUUGUGUGUGAACUUUUUGCACGUAAUCUUUUUUUAUACCCAUAGCUAGCGUUUGUUUGUGUGGCAGUGUUCCGGGAGAUGGACGCCGGGGGACAUGGGCUUGGGGAGGCGCACAUGACCUCCUCUGUCCGUGAUCUCUUCAGCUGGGGAGACCGCGUGUUGCCCCGCCUGGAGAGACACGUUGAUGGAGGUGGCCGUGUGUGUCACCCUUUGCCUGUAUCCUCUGGCGCCCAGAGGCGCGUAAGUGGAGAGCAUCGGCGCAGCGCGGGAGCAUCACGUCAGGGUGUAGGGUGUUUGUUUAGCUGGUGUAGGGUGUUAGGGUGUUAGGGUGUUAGGUGUAACAACGGUUGGCUCUUUCACAGAACGGGUGUGAUUCCGUUCUGCGUUUGAGUCUUCCACCUUCAGACGGUCUCCCUCCGAGAUGUCUGAAGUUUUUUUGUCGGUUUUCUCCGUAGGAGGAAGCCGACUCCAGCUACUCUGGCCUCUCUUCCGGGGGUCAGGGCGGUCGGGCUCUGCUUGGCCAGGCGUUGCCUUUCGCGUUGUCUCCGCCGACGUUUUGCCAGACUCUUCCGUAAGGUUGAGCCUGGCUUUUUUAUUAGGUGGAUCAGGCUGCCUUCUUCCAAGGAGUCUGAUGGGAGUGGAGUCUUUUUUUUGGUGUAUGUCUGUGGGUACUUAGUGGGUAAGGGAGGGUGGGGUAGAAUGGUUGGU
Molecule: long non-coding RNA, 3342 nt
Organism: Eriocheir sinensis (Chinese mitten crab)
Lineage: Eukaryota; Metazoa; Arthropoda; Malacostraca; Decapoda; Varunidae
Exons: 4
Source: RefSeq, a predicted model, not a curated record